This 689-nucleotide long non-coding RNA is filed under the name Bos indicus x Bos taurus (hybrid cattle). Its description in RNAcentral is "lncRNA (ENSBIXG00000021469.1)". The record is from RNAcentral. Lineage: Eukaryota; Metazoa; Chordata; Mammalia; Artiodactyla; Bovidae.
AUGCAGAGGCAGCAACCAGGAAGACGUGGCUCCUUUGAAGGUUGCCCGCUCUGCGCGAAGCAUGCUUCUGGAGGGGAAUCCCAGCUGGUGCGGUUACACAUAAAAUACACCAGAAAAGGACUCGGUGAAGGAGUCUGCCCUUUCAUGCCUCAAUUAUCCAACCUGAGAGAUGGUGAGGUGAAUCUUUACCAGCUGACCAUGACUCCAAAGUCUCCAGAGAUUCUCAAAGAAAUCCUCAGAGAAGACCGAGAUGGGGGCCAGUCUGACUCUUCCUAUGCAUCAGAAAAUCUACCUCCUCCUGGUGAGUUUCAAGAGGAAUAGGCAUUGGACUUCCCUGUUGGUCCAGUAGCUAAGACUCAGCCUUUCAGUGCAAGGGAUGUGGGUUCAAUCCAUGGUCAGGGAACUGUGAUCCCACACGCCAUGGAGCAACUAAGCCCACAAGCUAUGACUACUGAGCCUGCACACUUGAGAGCCUAUGCUCCACAACAAGAGAAACCCUUGCAGCGAUGAACGAGACCCAGUGCAGCACCGCCCCCCACCCAAAAAAAAGGGAUCGGUAUUGCUGCCUGAGUUCUGAAGUGAUGGAGAUUUUGUUGUUAUUGUUUAGUCACUAAGUUGUGUCCAACUCUCUGCAACCCCAUGGACUGUAGCCCACCAAGCUCCUCUGUUCAUGGGACUUCCCAGGCAAG